UCGACAGACGACAGCGAUGAAGUGCAGCCGCGUGUCUCGGGCAGAGUUCUCAUCGGGCCCCACGACCUUAGAGUUGAUACCUACGUGGUAGCUUUCUUACCUGCCUGAGCUCCUUAGCCGUAGCUGGGGCCCUCUCGUUCUUCGAAAGCCAAGGAGAUGACAUUCACGCAAAUCGCCUGCGAGCUUCGUGAACUGCGUUCGAACCUGGUGCAGCUUUGGCGAAAGUGGAUGAAAGAAAAACAAGACUAAUUGUUUCGCCCAGAAAUUGGCAACGGACACUUACUGCACCAGUCGCUGUUAUGCGUCGCAUGGUGUCACGACAUCUUCACAAAAUCCGAAGUGAAAUAAAAUGUUAGCGACGUCAAACGGCAA
Long non-coding RNA from Ornithodoros turicata, 372 nucleotides. RefSeq lists it as uncharacterized. The record is from RefSeq and is a predicted model, not a curated record. The transcript is spliced from 3 exons. Lineage: Eukaryota; Metazoa; Arthropoda; Arachnida; Ixodida; Argasidae.